GCGAACUCCGGUCAGCUGACACAUCCCUGCCAAUCUCCGGCUGACCCUCCCUCCCAUACCCUCCCAACUCCUGGACAGCAUCCAUGUUGAAGCUGCCUUCAACAUGGAUGCUGCCCAGGAAGUAGGAGGGACCGGGAGGGAGGGUCUGCCGGAGAUUGGCAGGGAUGUGUCAGCUGACCG
This 180-nucleotide microRNA precursor is filed under the name Pelobates cultripes (western spadefoot toad). Lineage: Eukaryota; Metazoa; Chordata; Amphibia; Anura; Pelobatidae. The record is from RNAcentral.